UACGUAGGGACCAAGCGUUGUCCGGAAUCAUUGGGCGUAAAGAGCGUGUAGGCGGCUUGUUAAGUCUUGCGUGAAAUCUCGGGGCUCAACCCCGAGCGGUCGUGAGAAACUGGCAGGCUAGAGUGCGGGAGAGGAGAGUGGAAUUCCUGGUGUAGCGGUGAAAUGCGCAGAUAUCGGGAGGAACACCAAUGGCGAAGGCAGCUCGCUGGGACGGUACUGACGCUGAGGCGCGAAAGCGUGGGGAGCAAACAGG
RNAcentral lists this ribosomal RNA (253 nucleotides) under uncultured bacterium. RNAcentral's name for it is "partial 16S ribosomal RNA". It matches the Rfam family "Bacterial small subunit ribosomal RNA", at positions 524 to 776 of the family's 1533-position model. The record is from RNAcentral.